CAAUCAUAAAAGGUGGCUUUUAGCUACCACUUACAGAUGGACCCGCGGCGCAUUAGCUAGUUGGUGAGGUAACGGCUCACCAAGGCGACGAUGCGUAGCCGACCUGAGAGGGUGAUCGGCCACACUGGGACUGAGACACGGCCCAGACUCCUACGGGAGGCAGCAGUAGGGAAUCUUCCGCAAUGGACGAAAGUCUGACGGAGCAACGCCGCGUGAGUGAUGAAGGUUUUCGGAUCGUAAAACUCUGUUGUUAGGGAAGAACAAGUACCGUUCGAAUAGGGCGGCACCUUGACGGUACCUAACCAGAAAGCCACGGCUAACUACGUGCCAGCAGCCGCGGUAAUACGUAGGUGGCAAGCGUUGUCCGGAAUUAUUGGGCGUAAAGCGCGCGCAGGCGGUUUCUUAAGUCUGAUGUGAAAGCCCCCGGCUCAACCGGGGAGGGUCAUUGGAAACUGGGGAACUUGAGUGCAGAAGAGGAGAGUGGAAUUCCACGUGUAGCGGUGAAAUGCGUAGAGAUGUGGAGGAACACCAGUGGCGAAGGCGACUCUCUGGUCUGUAACUGACGNUGAGGCGCGAAAGCGUGGGGAGCGAACAGGAUUAGAUACCCUGGUAGUCCACGCCGUAAACGAUGAGUGCUAAGUGUUAGAGGGUUUCCGCCCUUUAGUGCUGCAGCAAACGCAUUAAGCACUCCGCCUGGGGAGUACGGUCGCAAGACUGAAACUCAAAGGAAUUGACGGGGGCCCGCACAAGCGGUGGAGCAUGUGGUUUAAUUCGAAGCAACGCGAAGAACCUUACCAGGUCUUGACAUCCUCUGACAACCCUAGAGAUAGGGCUUCCCCUUCGGGGGCAGAGUGACAGGUGGUGCAUGGUUGUCGUCAGCUCGUGUCGUGAGAUGUUGGGUUAAGUCCCGCAACGAGCGCAACCCUUGAUCUUAGUUGCCAGCAUUCAGUUGGGCACUCUAAGGUGACUGCCGGUGACAAACCGGAGGAAGGUGGGGAUGACGUCAAAUCAUCAUGCCCCUUAUGACCUGGGCUACACACGUGCUACAAUGGGCAGAACAAAGGGCAGCGAAGCCGCGAGGCUAAGCCAAUCCCACAAAUCUGUUCUCAGUUCGGAUCGCAGUUUGCAACUGGACUGCGUGAAGCUGGAA
This 1150-nucleotide ribosomal RNA is filed under the name Bacillus licheniformis. RNAcentral's name for it is "bacterial SSU rRNA". It matches the Rfam family "Bacterial small subunit ribosomal RNA", at positions 195 to 1331 of the family's 1533-position model. Lineage: Bacteria; Bacillati; Bacillota; Bacilli; Caryophanales; Bacillaceae. The record is from RNAcentral.